This 551-nucleotide ribosomal RNA is filed under the name uncultured bacterium. RNAcentral's name for it is "bacterial SSU rRNA". It matches the Rfam family "Bacterial small subunit ribosomal RNA", at positions 355 to 896 of the family's 1533-position model. The record is from RNAcentral.
UAGGGAAUCUUCGGCAAUGGGGGCAACCCUGACCGAGCAACGCCGCGUGAGUGAAGAAGGUUUUCGGAUCGUAAAGCUCUGUUGUAAGUCAAGAACGAGUGUGAGAGUGGAAAGUUCACACUGUGACGGUAGCUUACCAGAAAGGGACGGCUAACUACGUGCCAGCAGCCGCGGUAAUACGUAGGUCCCGAGCGUUGUCCGGAUUUAUUGGGCGUAAAGCGAGCGCAGGCGGUUUGAUAAGUCUGAAGUUAAAGGCUGUGGCUCAACCAUAGUUCGCUUUGGAAACUGUCAAACUUGAGUGCAGAAGGGGAGAGUGGAAUUCCAUGUGUAGCGGUGAAAUGCGUAGAUAUAUGGAGGAACACCGGUGGCGAAAGCGGCUCUCUGGUCUGUAACUGACGCUGAGGCUCGAAAGCGUGGGGAGCGAACAGGAUUAGAUACCCUGGUAGUCCACGCCGUAAACGAUGAGUGCUAGGUGUUGGAUCCUUUCCGGGANUUCAGUGCCGCAGCUAACGCAUUAAGCACUCCGCCUGGGGAGUACGACCGCAAGGUUG